Molecule: ribosomal RNA, 407 nt
Filed under: Vibrio sp. P1-9
Lineage: Bacteria; Pseudomonadati; Pseudomonadota; Gammaproteobacteria; Vibrionales; Vibrionaceae
Description: bacterial SSU rRNA
Rfam family: Bacterial small subunit ribosomal RNA
Source: RNAcentral
UGCAAGUCGAGCGGAAACGAGUUAUCUGAACCUUCGGGGAACGAUAACGGCGUCGAGCGGCGGACGGGUGAGUAAUGCCUGGGAAAUUGCCCUGAUGUGGGGGAUAACUAUUGGAAACGAUAGCUAAUACCGCAUAACGUCUACGGACCAAAGAGGGGGACCUUCGGGCCUCUCGCUUCAGGAUAUGCCCAGGUGGGAUUAGCUAGUUGGUGAGGUAAUGGCUCACCAAGGCGACGAUCCCUAGCUGGUCUGAGAGGAUGAUCAGCCACACUGGAACUGAGACACGGUCCAGACUCCUACGGGAGGCAGCAGUGGGGAAUAUUGCACAAUGGGCGCAAGCCUGAUGCAGCCAUGCCGCGUGUAUGAAGAAGGCCUUCGGGUUGUAAAGUACUUUCAGUCGUGAGGAA